This 253-nucleotide ribosomal RNA is filed under the name uncultured bacterium. RNAcentral describes it as "partial 16S ribosomal RNA". It matches the Rfam family "Bacterial small subunit ribosomal RNA", at positions 524 to 776 of the family's 1533-position model. The record is from RNAcentral.
UACGUAGGGUCCAAGCGUUAAUCGGAAUUACUGGGCGUAAAGCGUGCGCAGGCGGUUCGUUAAGUCAGCUGUGAAAUCCCCGAGCUUAACUUGGGAACUGCCGUUGAUACUAUAGAUCUUGAAUAUCGUGGAGGUAAGCGGAAUAUGUCAUGUAGCGGUGAAAUGCUUAGAUAUGACAUAGAACACCAAUUGCGAAGGCAGCUUACUACACGAUCAUUGACACUGAGGCACGAAAGCGUGGGGAGCAAACAGG